RNAcentral lists this ribosomal RNA (497 nucleotides) under uncultured bacterium. RNAcentral describes it as "partial 16S ribosomal RNA". It matches the Rfam family "Bacterial small subunit ribosomal RNA", at positions 28 to 507 of the family's 1533-position model. The record is from RNAcentral.
GAUGAACGCUGGCGGCGUGCCUAAUACAUGCAAGUCGAGCGGACAGACGAGGCUCUUGCUCCUCUGACGUUAGCGGCGGAGGGGUGAGUAACACGUGUAUAACCCACCUAUAAGAGUGGUAUAACUACGGGAAAGCGGAUAUAAUACCAUAUAAUAUAUUGAAGCGCAUGGGUGGAUGGUAAGAGACGGUUUUUGUGGCACUAAUAGAGGGAUCCGGGCCGCAUUGGCUAGUUGGUAAGGUCACGGCUUACCAAGGCAACGAUGCGUAGCCGACGUGCGAGGGUGAUCGCCCACACUGGAAGUGAGACACGGUCCAGACGCCUGAGGUACGCAGCAGUAGGGAACCUGCCGCAAUGGGCGAGAGCCUGGCGGAGCAGCGCCGCGUGAGUGAUGAAGGUCUUCGGAUCGUAAAACUCUGUUAUUAGGGAAGAACAACUGUGUAAGUAACUAUGCCCGUCUUGACGGUAACUAAUCAGAAAGCCACGGCUAACUACGUG